Molecule: transfer RNA, 32 nt
Filed under: Gyrodactylus salaris (gyrodactylosis fluke)
Lineage: Eukaryota; Metazoa; Platyhelminthes; Monogenea; Gyrodactylidea; Gyrodactylidae
Description: partial tRNA-Thr
Source: RNAcentral
GUCUAGUUAGUUUUAUAGUAAAACAUGGUUUU